Molecule: long non-coding RNA, 1662 nt
Organism: Peromyscus leucopus (white-footed mouse)
Lineage: Eukaryota; Metazoa; Chordata; Mammalia; Rodentia; Cricetidae
Exons: 6
Source: RefSeq, a predicted model, not a curated record
GAAGUCGAAUUUAGAACCCCUACAGAAGUGAGUCCUGAGCUAAAACUUAAAGAGCCUAAUUAAUGUUUGAAGCCAGACAGAAGAGAAAGUGCUGACAUAGCCAAGGAGAAGCAAUUAGAGGAAUAAUUAGAAAUGCAACAGUGGGACCUGCCAGCGAGUCUGAAAAAUGUAUUCACCAAGUAUUGUUCAACUUCCUCCAAAGCCACAGAGUUUCUGAAAGAUUUCUGUUAGAGUUCUAAAAGAGGCCUUUGCAGGGUUGUAUUUCACUCCUUCCUGUUGUCGCUGUUAUUCUAGAAAGGUCCAAAAUAACGAAAGGAGCUUUCAUGGCAUGAACGUGGGUAGUUUUAGAAAUAGAUCCAGACCCCUGAUUUUUCUGCCAGUACUCUCUACACUGAAGAACUUCUGCGUUUCCAGCACACUGACUUUCUGCUCAGGUUCAAAUCAUUAGUGUUGAUCUCAGCCUAUGUCAGAGAAGAUUGUUUUUACACUGGGUGAUGCCUGAAGCAGAAACUCAUAACCCAACAAAGUGCUGAAGCAGGUUGCUUUUGAGAGUGGAGAGGUGGACAGGUCUGGAACAUCACUGGCUUUACAAAAAUGUGACCUAUCAUGUAUAGACUAUACAAUCAAAAAAGCUCAGAAUUAAUACCUGAAAUAUCCUCGCAUAUGAAACACUUGGAUUUCCACACAGACAAAAAGUGAACAAGAGUGAGGAUGUCACAGAUCUUUCAGGGGAUAAAGUGUCCAUUUGCUGAGUCAAACAGGAAAGGUAGUGUGAUAGCAUGAAUCCAGGCCAAAAGGGGGGAAAAAUCACAAAGGUGACAGAGACUACAGAAGAAAUCUCUCAAGAAGACUCUCAAAAUAUUUCAACAGAAAUCUUACCGAAGUUAUGAAAGAAAAUGACUACCAGUGAAGAAACUUCAGAAAUGAAAGAGAAACAAAGAAUCUUCAAGGCAAGUAAAACCCGAGGGAAUUCAUUAUCAGCAGAUUGCUCUUACAGAAGAUGCUCAGGAGUGCUCUACAUCUUGAACUGUAACACACAUAGCCAACAUCACAUGAACAAAUGGACGUAUAAAGCCCACUAGGAAUGCAGACCUGUAACUGCAUGUAGUCCUAACCCACAGAAAUAGAGGCAGAAGAAUUACAAGUUUGAUCCUGGCUCCAGGGCAAGAUCAAGAAGAGGAAAACAAUGAGGAGGAGCAGGAUGAGGAAGACAGGACCAAGAGAACAAGGAGGAGGAGAUACUUAAAAAAGGAGGAAAAAUAGUGAUUAUUUAUUUAUCAUUUCAGAGCACCAUUACCACAACUGUAAUCAAUAAGAGAAAAGCAAACAAACAAAAAAAAGUUUGUAUUCCAAAUAGAAGAAAUUAACAACAUGGCAGGCAUGCUAUCUUUACAACUGAGUACUAACAUUCAAUAGAAUCAUAUUACAUUCUGUCACUUAAAAGACUGGAUUAAGAACAGGACCAAACAAUAUGCUGCCCACAAGAAACACAUUUGGUCAGUAAAAAACACACAUUAAAUCAAAGUGAAAUAUGGAAAAAUGAAACAGAAAGUAAGCAGGAGUGAGUUAUAUUGAUACCAGAAAGUAUGGCCUUUAAGAUAAAUUCUAUGUAAUUCUCAAGGAAUAACUUAAACUGUAAAAUGCAACAAUAAUAAAUGUAUA